This 465-nucleotide ribosomal RNA is filed under the name uncultured bacterium. RNAcentral's name for it is "partial 16S ribosomal RNA". It matches the Rfam family "Bacterial small subunit ribosomal RNA", at positions 28 to 507 of the family's 1533-position model. The record is from RNAcentral.
GACGAACGCUGGCGGCGUGCUUAACACAUGCAAGUCGAGCGGUAAGGCUCCUUCGGGAGUACACGAGCGGCGAACGGGUGAGUAACACGUGAGUAACCUGCCCCAUUCAUCGGAAUAACCAGUGGAAACGCUGGCUAAUGCCGAAUACGACCACCGAAGGCAUCUUCUGGUGGUGGAAAGCUCCGGCGGAGGGGGAUGGACUCGCGGCCUAUCAGCUUGUUGGUGAGGUAACGGCUCACCAAGGCGACGACGGGUAGCCGGCCUGAGAGGGUGACCGGCCACACUGGGGCUGAGACACGGACCGGACGCAUACGGGAGGCAGCAGUGGGGAAUGUUGGACGACGGUCGAAAGCCUGAUCCAGCAUCGCCGCGGGAGGGAUGACGGCCUGCGGGUUGGAAACCACUUACAGCAGGGACGAAGCGAAAGAGACGGUACCGGCAGAAGAAGGACCGGCCAACUACGUG